AGAUUGAACGCUGGCGGCAUGCUUUACACAUGCAAGUCGAGCGGCAGCGCGGGGGCAACCCUGGCGGCGAGCGGCGAACGGGUGAGGAACACAUCGGAACGUGCCCCGGAGUGGGGAUAACGCCGCGAAAGCGGCGCUAAUACCGCAUAUGCUCUGAGGAGGAAAGGCGGGGGACCUGUGGAGGGCCUCGCGCUCGUGGGAGCGGCCGAUGUCCGAUUACGC
RNAcentral lists this ribosomal RNA (222 nucleotides) under uncultured soil bacterium. Its description in RNAcentral is "partial 16S ribosomal RNA". It matches the Rfam family "Bacterial small subunit ribosomal RNA", at positions 26 to 246 of the family's 1533-position model. The record is from RNAcentral.